CUACGGGAGGCAGCAGUGAGGAAUAUUGGACAAUGGGCGCAAGCCUGAUCCAGCCAUGCCGCGUGCAGGAUGAAGCAUCUAUGGUGUGUAAACUGCUUUUGUACGAGAAGAAACACUGCUUCGUGAAGCAGCUUGACGGUAUCGUAAGAAUAAGGAUCGGCUAACUCCGUGCCAGCAGCCGCGGUAAUACGGAGGAUCCAAGCGUUAUCCGGAAUCAUUGGGUUUAAAGGGUCCGUAGGCGGGCCAGUAAGUCAGUGGUGAAAUCUCCCGGCUCAACCGGGAAAUGGCCAUUGAUACUGCUGGUCUUGAAUUAUUAGGAAGUAACUAGAAUAUGUAGUGUAGCGGUGAAAUGCUUAGAGAUUACAUGGAAUACCAAUUGCGAAGGCAGGUUACUACUAAUGGAUUGACGCUGAUGGACGAAAGCGUGGGUAGCGAACAGGAUUAGAUACCCUGGU
RNAcentral lists this ribosomal RNA (455 nucleotides) under uncultured bacterium. Its description in RNAcentral is "bacterial SSU rRNA". It matches the Rfam family "Bacterial small subunit ribosomal RNA", at positions 339 to 791 of the family's 1533-position model. The record is from RNAcentral.